Molecule: RNA transcript, 1111 nt
Organism: Melanotaenia boesemani (Boeseman's rainbowfish)
Lineage: Eukaryota; Metazoa; Chordata; Actinopteri; Atheriniformes; Melanotaeniidae
Gene: casp3a
Gene name: caspase 3, apoptosis-related cysteine peptidase a
Exons: 7
Source: RefSeq, a predicted model, not a curated record
GCGCAGCAGCUAAUGCUACGCGGCAGUUGGGUGUAUCGUGUUUUUUCCAGGCUACUGUUCAUCACUCAGACCGUAAUUUUAUUGUUCGUAUAGAAUUUAGGUAUCUGUUUAAAAAACAUGUCCGCAGACGGACCCGGAGGAGACUCUACAGAUGCGAGGCGGGACGAUACACGACCGUUAGCGGGGUCUUUGUCUGCCCCUUGUCCCAUGGACGUUGAUGCCAAGCCCUCUUCUCACAGCUUCAGAUACAGUCUCAAUUUCCCCUCCAUCGGCCAGUGCAUCAUCAUUAACAACAAGAACUUUGAUAGAAGCACAGGCAUGAACCAACGAAACGGCACAGACGUCGAUGCAGGCAAUGCAGGGAAAGUGUUUUCAAAGUUGGGCUAUAAAGUGCAGGUUUAUAACGACCAGUCGGUGGAUCAGAUGAAAAAGGUUUUAACUGCUGUGUCAAAGGAAGAUCACAGUCGCUCAGCCUCAUUUGUCUGCGUUCUCCUGAGUCACGGAGAUGAGGGCGUGUUCUUCGGCACUGAUGGCUCAAUAGAGCUCAGGUACCUAACCUCACUUUUUCGAGGUGAUCGCUGUAAAUCACUGGUGGGAAAGCCCAAGCUCUUCUUCAUCCAGGCUUGCAGAGGCACUGAUCUGGAUGCAGGCAUUGAAACAGACAGCGCAGACGAUGGUACAACUAAGAUCCCCGUGGAAGCUGACUUCCUCUACGCCUUUUCCACAGCUCCAGGAUAUUACUCAUGGAGGAAUACUAUGACUGGAUCGUGGUUCAUCCAGUCGCUAUGUGACAUGAUCAGUAAAUAUGGAAAAGAAUUGGAGCUCCAGCACAUCAUGACGCGAGUCAACCACAAGGUGGCAGUAGAGUUUGAGUCUGUCUCUAAUUCACCAGAUUUUCAUGCAAAGAAACAAAUCCCCUGCAUUGUGUCAAUGCUGACCAAAGAGAUGUAUUUUUUCUCUUAAUGUUGGCUUUACAUGAGAAAAGUUGAGCCUGGCAGAGGAAGGGCUUGGAGAAGUUCUGUAAACCACAUGUCAUGUAAUGUUGCAGUGUCAUUUUACUGGUCUGGCAUUAUCGGGUUUUCACUGUGGGUUGUGUGUAUAUAUAUUGUAU